AAAACAGAGAGUUCGAUCCUGGCUCAGGAUGAACGCUGGCGGCGUGCUUAACACAUGCAAGUCGAACGAGAGAUACAGGAGGAAGUUUUCGGACGGAAUCCGGUAGAUCGAGUGGCGGACGGGUGAGUAACGCGUGGGGAACCUGCCUCAUACAGGGGGAUAACAGUU
RNAcentral lists this ribosomal RNA (168 nucleotides) under Moryella indoligenes. RNAcentral describes it as "partial 16S ribosomal RNA". It matches the Rfam family "Bacterial small subunit ribosomal RNA", at positions 1 to 151 of the family's 1533-position model. The record is from RNAcentral. Lineage: Bacteria; Bacillati; Bacillota; Clostridia; Lachnospirales; Lachnospiraceae.